AUGAAGGUCCGACGCGGCGGCGCCGGCUUCCCCUUCUCCAUCGGCUGCAUGUCGCAGUCCGCCGUAGCCGUCGCUGACCCGCUCCACAAGAAGUCGCAGCCGCCACAGCCAGGAAAGCAGGCCGACAACCCCUCCUCCACCACCACAACCAUGGCGGCCACCACACAGGACAGAGGCGCCGGAGAAGAAAGCGGCGAGGACAAGGCCAAGGCCGCGGCGGCGUCCGGGAUCGUCACGGCGGGGGUGCAGCGGCUGCUCAAGGGAAUCAAGACCUUCUUCGCGGCGUACGACAGUGAGGAAGAAGAUGAAGAGGAGAGGGAGAUCGUGAUCGGGUACCCCACGGACGUGCAGCACGUCGGGCACAUCGGCUGGGACGGGAUCAACAAGGUGGGCGGCAUGGGCGUGGGCAUGGUCGGCGCCUUCUCCCUGCCAUCCUCCCUCUCCCUCCGCCAGCUCGACAUCGCCAUGGACCCCGGCGCCGCCACCACCACCUGCAUCAACUGA
Molecule: ribosomal RNA, 504 nt
Filed under: Triticum aestivum (bread wheat)
Lineage: Eukaryota; Viridiplantae; Streptophyta; Magnoliopsida; Poales; Poaceae
Description: partial small subunit ribosomal RNA
Source: RNAcentral